GAGCACAGCUGUGGACAAUUGCGCAUAACAAGACAGGGAGGACACGGAACUGAAAAUACUGACCCAAGACGCAGACCUUAAACGUAACACAGGAAGAACACAGAGAUGCAGAGAGGAGGAGGAGAGAGAGAGCAAAGAGGAGCACAUGACAGGUACUUGCAGGUCUGGCAGCUGGUGUAAACAGGGACAAGGAACAGUGACAUUGAAACCACACAGAGGUGAUCGUGCUGCCUGGAUAUGCAGAGCUCCUUCGAAAGUGAGGUACAACUAAACCCCUGAACACCUGGCUCCUGAGGAUGGAGGGCACAGGAGAUGUGGAGGCAUAAUCAGGAAAAGGAGAAAAGCCUAUGGAAGUAGCUGCCUCUGUACAGAUCAGGCCAGGAGAGGCUCGCUGUCCCGGAGAGGUGAAGGUGCUAGUGUCAGAGCAACAGGGAGAUAACCUCUUUGGUCGUCAUCUUCUGCC
Oreochromis niloticus (Nile tilapia) is the source of this 463-nucleotide long non-coding RNA. RefSeq lists it as uncharacterized. NCBI's taxonomy places the organism in Eukaryota, Metazoa, Chordata, Actinopteri, Cichliformes, Cichlidae. The transcript is spliced from 3 exons. The record is from RefSeq and is a predicted model, not a curated record.